RNAcentral lists this ribosomal RNA (495 nucleotides) under uncultured bacterium. Its description in RNAcentral is "partial 16S ribosomal RNA". It matches the Rfam family "Bacterial small subunit ribosomal RNA", at positions 28 to 507 of the family's 1533-position model. The record is from RNAcentral.
GACGAACGCUGGCGGCGUGCCUAACACAUGCAAGUAGAACGCUGAAGGAGGAGCUUGCUUCUCUGGAUGAGUUGCGAACGGGUGAGUAACGCGUAGGUAACCUGCCUGGUAGCGGGGGAUAACUAUUGGAAACGAUAGCUAAUACCGCAUAAUAGUAGAUGUUGCAUGACAUUUGCUUAAAAGGUUCAAUUGCAUCACUACUAGAUGGACCUGCGUUGUAUUAGCUAGUUGGUGAGGUAACGGCUCACCAAGGCAACGAUACAUAGCCGACCUGAGAGGGUGGUCGGCCACCCUGGGGAGGGGACACGGCCCAGACUCCUACGGGAGGCAGCAGUAGGGAAUCUUCGGCAAUGGACGGAAGUCUGACCGAGCAACGCCGCGUGAGUGAAGAAGGUUUUCGGAUCGUAAAGCUCUGUUGUAAGAGAAGAACGAGUGUGAGAGUGGAAAGGUCACACUGUGACGGUAUCUUACCAGAAAGGGACGGCUAACUACGUG